GCUGGGCAUGGUGGCGCAUGCCUGUAGUCCCAGCUACUUGGGAGGCUGAGGCAGUAGGAUCGCUUAAGCCCAGGAGUUUGAGGUUGCUGUGAGCUAGGCUGAUGCCACAGCUACUUGGGAGGCUGAGGCAGUAGGAUCGCUUAAGCCCAGGAGUUUGAGGUUGCUGUGAGCUAGGCUGAUGCCACGGCACUCACUCUAGCCCGGGCAACAAAGCGAGACUCUGUCUCA
This 228-nucleotide signal recognition particle RNA is filed under the name Prolemur simus (greater bamboo lemur). Its description in RNAcentral is "Metazoan signal recognition particle RNA (ENSPSMG00000003672.1)". It matches the Rfam family "Metazoan signal recognition particle RNA". Rfam says of the family: The signal recognition particle (SRP) is a universally conserved ribonucleoprotein. It is involved in the co-translational targeting of proteins to membranes. The record is from RNAcentral. Lineage: Eukaryota; Metazoa; Chordata; Mammalia; Primates; Lemuridae.